This is a long non-coding RNA of Gymnogyps californianus (California condor), 946 nucleotides long. RefSeq lists it as uncharacterized. The transcript is spliced from 4 exons. Lineage: Eukaryota; Metazoa; Chordata; Aves; Accipitriformes; Cathartidae. The record is from RefSeq and is a predicted model, not a curated record.
GAAGGCCUGGGGGUACCGAGGUGUCCGCCGCCCUCUCUGGUCUUUAUCAGCCGCCCCGGGAGAGGAGAGGGAGGCCGUGAGCGGGGGAGCAAGUGGCUUUCGUUCGGACUGUCUCCAGCGCAGGUCCCAGCCCCGCAGGGCAGGGCCACCCUGGUGAAGUGAGGUGAAGCGGCCGUCGUCUGCCUUUGUGCCGGUUACUGCUGCGAGGUGUUGCUGUGGGGCAGGGAGCUGCUGCUGUGUGCAGAGUGCCGUUUGCUCCCUAGGCAGCCCCGGCCCUGAAGGAAGCACCUUGCAUCCAAGAAAAAUUAUUCCUGCCUGGAGACAUAACAUAAUUUCUCAAUAAACUCCAGCUUCCUAACUGUUGCAAUACCAAGGACAUCAAGCAUUAGACUUCCCUACAAAGUAUAUGUAUCAGCUUAGGCUGGCACAGGAAGAAUUCUUAAGACUGGUCUGAAAGAACCGACGUUUACUCAAAGCCUCUGAUUCGACACAGGAAAGCCUUACAUGGCACAAUUGGCGUGAUCCCUGGACUUAAGCCCAUUAACAGAAAAAGAUAAUGGUGCUAUUAUGAGAGCCAAAUGGAGGGAAAAUACAUAACAAUACCAUAUACAAGCAAAAUCACAGCAGAUCUAGAAUGAGGGAACGGGGAGCAGAUGGCGUACCUGCCUCACUGAGACUAGAGACUCUUUCUGUGAUCUGCUCACUUGGCAAAAUCUACUAUACCUCAGGCAGAGUGCAAAUGAUACAUACAUGUAGUCAAGAAACUCCCUCCCCUGUCCUUAGAGGAAGGUAGUGAUGCUAUCACAAUAUUUUUGAAGGAAAAAUGUCAACAUUUUUGAUUGCGUGACUGUAUGCUUGAACUGUAAUAAACGGCAGGUGUCUCUUUGCUUCCUUCAGUACCCUCCACGCUCAUAAGCAAUUAAGAUUUGAUUAUUAAGGGGAAGAA